This 76-nucleotide transfer RNA is filed under the name Candidatus Saccharimonadota bacterium. Its description in RNAcentral is "tRNA-Phe". It matches the Rfam family "tRNA". From Rfam's summary of the family: Transfer RNA (tRNA) molecules are approximately 80 nucleotides in length. Their secondary structure includes four short double-helical elements and three loops (D, anti-codon, and T loops). Further hydrogen bonds mediate the characteristic L-shaped molecular structure. tRNAs have two regions of fundamental functional importance: the anti-codon, which is responsible for specific mRNA codon recognition, and the 3' end, to which the tRNAs corresponding amino acid is attached (by aminoacyl-tRNA synthetases). tRNAs cope with the degeneracy of the genetic code in two manners: having more than one tRNA (with a specific anti-codon) for a particular amino acid; and 'wobble' base-pairing, i.e. permitting non-standard base-pairing at the 3rd anti-codon position. Lineage: Bacteria; Candidatus Saccharimonadota. The record is from RNAcentral.
GCACCUUUAGCUCAGUUGGUAGAGCAGUGGCCUGAAGAGCCAUGUGUCGCUGGUUCGAUUCCAGCAAGGUGCACCA